AGAGCGAACGCUGGCGGCAGGCCUAACACAUGCAAGUCGAACGGACUCUUCGGAGUUAGUGGCGGACGGGUGAGUAACACGUGGGAACGUGCCUUUAGGUUCGGAAUAGCUCCUGGAAACGGGUGGUAAUACCGAAUGUGCCCUUCGGGGGAAAGAUUUAUCGCCUUUAGAGCGGCCCGCGUCUGAUUAGCUUGUUGGUGAGGUAAUGGCUCACCAAGGCUACGAUCAGUAGCUGGUCUGAGAGGAUGACCAGCCACAUUGGGACUGAGACACGGCCCAAACUCCUACGGGAGGCAGCAGUGGGAAUCUUGCGCAAUGGGCGAAAGCCUGACGCAGCCAUGCCGCGUGUAUGAUGAAGGUCUUAGGAUUGUAAAAUACUUUCACCGGUGAAGAUAAUGACUGUAGCCGGAGAAGAAGCCCCGCUAACUUCGUGCCAGCAGCCGA
RNAcentral lists this ribosomal RNA (444 nucleotides) under uncultured soil bacterium. RNAcentral's name for it is "bacterial SSU rRNA". It matches the Rfam family "Bacterial small subunit ribosomal RNA", at positions 26 to 518 of the family's 1533-position model. The record is from RNAcentral.